UACGUAGGGGGCGAGCGUUGUCCGGAUUUAUUGGGCGUAAAGAGCGUGUAGGCGGCCAGGUAGGUCUGCUGUGAAAACUCGAGGCUCAACCUCGAGACGUCGGCGGAAACCAUCUGGCUAGAGUCCGGAAGAGGAGAGUGGAAUUCCUGGUGUAGCGGUGAAAUGCGUAGAUAUCAGGAGGAACACCGGUGGCGAAGGCGGCUACCUGGACAGAAACUGACGCUGAGGCGCGAAAGCUAGGGGAGCAAACAGG
RNAcentral lists this ribosomal RNA (253 nucleotides) under uncultured bacterium. Its description in RNAcentral is "partial 16S ribosomal RNA". It matches the Rfam family "Bacterial small subunit ribosomal RNA", at positions 524 to 776 of the family's 1533-position model. The record is from RNAcentral.